AAUCCUAUUAUUUACCCGGUGAUUGUUUGUUUGGUUUUAGGUUGGGGUGACCGCGGAGUAUAAGAUAUCCUCCAUGAAAAAAAGCUAACUGCCCUUAUUAGAGAAAGACACUUCCAAAAAAUAAUAAAUUAAUUUUAAAUGAUCCGACNUUCGAUCAACGAACCAAGUUACCCUGGGGAUAACAGCGCANUCCGUCCCGAGAGCCCCUAUCGACAGGCGGGUUUACGACCUCGAUGUUGGAUCAGGGUAUCCCAGUGGUGCAGCAGCUACUAAAGGUUCGUUUGUUCAACGAUUAA
Molecule: ribosomal RNA, 296 nt
Filed under: Boophis madagascariensis (Madagascar bright-eyed frog)
Lineage: Eukaryota; Metazoa; Chordata; Amphibia; Anura; Mantellidae
Description: partial 16S ribosomal RNA
Rfam family: Bacterial large subunit ribosomal RNA
Source: RNAcentral